CAAGUCGAACGAGAACUUUUCCUGUAGCAAUACAGGGAAAGUUUUAGUGGCGAACGGGUGCGUAACACGUGGGCAAUCUGCCUUAAAGUGGGGGAUAGCUCGGCGAAAGCCGAAUUAAUACCGCAUGUGGUCAGGGAAGACAUCUUUCCGAAACCAAAGCCGGGGCAACCUGGCGCUUUUUGAGGAGCCCGCGGCCUAUCAGCUAGUUGGUGAGGUAACGGCCCACCAAGGCUAUGACGGGUAGCUGGUCUGAGAGGACGACCAGUCACACUGGAACUGAGACACGGUCCAGACACCUACGGGUGGCAGCAGUCGAGAAUUUUUCUCAAUGGGGGCAACCCUGAAGGAGCGACGCCGCGUGGAGGAUGAAGGCUUUCGGGUUGUAAACUCCUGUCAUUUGGGAACAAGCCGCUUACGUUAACUGCGUGAGCGUUGAUAGUACCAGAAGAGGAAGAGACGGCUAACUCUGUGCCAGCAGCCGCGGUAAUACAGAGGUCUCAAGCGUUGUUCGGAUUCAUUGGGCGUAAAGGGUGCGUAGGUGGCGCGGUAAGUCGGGUGUGAAAUCUCGGAGCUUAACUCCGAAAUUGCAUUCGAUACUGCCGUGCUCGAGGACUGGAGAGGAGACUGGAAUUCAUGGUGUAGCAGUGAAAUGCGUAGAGAUCAUGAGGAAGACCAGUGGCGAAGGCGGGUCUCUGGACAGUUCCUGACACUGAGGCACGAAGGCCAGGGGAGCAAACGGGAUUAGAUACCCCGGUAGUCCUGGCAGUAAACGGUGCACGUUUGGUGUGGGGAGGAUUCGACCCCUUCCGCGCCGGAGCUAACGCGUUAAACGUGCCGCCUGGGG
This 844-nucleotide ribosomal RNA is filed under the name uncultured Verrucomicrobiae bacterium. RNAcentral describes it as "bacterial SSU rRNA". It matches the Rfam family "Bacterial small subunit ribosomal RNA", at positions 58 to 878 of the family's 1533-position model. The record is from RNAcentral. Lineage: Bacteria; Pseudomonadati; Verrucomicrobiota; Verrucomicrobiia.